RNAcentral lists this long non-coding RNA (2499 nucleotides) under Salmo salar (Atlantic salmon). RNAcentral's name for it is "lncRNA (ENSSSAG00000113031.1)". The record is from RNAcentral. Lineage: Eukaryota; Metazoa; Chordata; Actinopteri; Salmoniformes; Salmonidae.
GGACAGGUGCCCCUCCGGGAGGACAGUUUCGGAGGCGGAAACCUGCAGGUCCACUAAAAGACAGACGCCUCAAUAUAAAGUUGGAUAUUCAGUCGUAUUUUUAUUUUUUUAAAUCAGAGAAUCACUGAAACAACGAGUUAUGAGAACGAAUCAAAUUAUUUUUUUAAACCGUGGAAAGAGAAUGAGUGGAGAUAGCUUGAGCUGAGAAUCCGUGUGUAUAAAGGUAGACGCACUUUUAAGACGCACAACAUAAUAGCCGUUUCAACUGAUUCCACAAGAUAUCAGCCAUGGAUUUUUAACAUCAACACGGACUAAAGUUCGUUCUUGAAGAGGUCCGAUCCGCUCCACUCCGACCCUGUCCCAUACCAGUCCGUAUAGUGCAGGUAGAAGAUGGCAGAGAGAGUGACUUGGUGGAGAGCGUUUAUGGGGAGCAGUAAGACGAUUAGUAGUGGUACCAAGGACAUCACCCCAGCUACCCAGAUCCCAGACACAGUGAAGGACCCUCUGACGCCCCGCACACAGGGAAUCCAAGCUACACCACACUCAGCAGCCCCCAAACUCCCAACCAAUCAACAGCCACCAGCAUCACCACAACAACCAGCAUCACAGCAGCCACAGGCACCAGUCAGUACAGGCACCAGCCUCUUCAGCGACGAGACCUUCGAUGACUCCCAGUUUGAGUCGGUCUUCAACGAACAUACUUGUCGUAGGAACCUGAGGGUGUCUCGGUCAGGCCGGUUUAAGGAGAAGAAGAGGGUACGCUCCAGUCUUCCUACUGGGAAAGAGGACGUACGAUAACGAGGAUGGUGAUGAUGAGGGAGAUAGUGGCCAAAAGACUGCUCUUACUUCUGAACUUUAUUUCAACACGGCCGUCCGUUCUGGGGGAAAAGGAAGGUAGAUGAAGAUGAAUUGUAAGUUGAAGAUAAGUUGAGGGUAGAGUUGAAGAUAAGUUGAAGAUAAGUUGAGGGUAGAGUUGAGGGUAAGUUGAAGAUAAGUCAAAGAUAAGUUGAAGAUAAGUUGAAGAUAAGUUGAAGAUAGUGAUUUGAGACCUUGACUUUACUCUUUGGAACCCUUUUGUCAGUACUAGAGAGUCUGUCUGUUCCGCUGCUGCUGCUUCUUCAUCAAUCAACAUGAGAUUCAUUUCAUUGAUUUUGAUUUAUUGAUCCCUUAUGGGAAGCUGAACAUUAUUUAAUCAACUUUUUAACCCUUGAAAAUGAAUAACUUAAGCUGUGUUUCCCAUCACAAAGAAAGUGAACUGAUACUCUUCUCUACCUCCUGUCUUGUUACAUUAUAAUGGACUGCUGAUUGGCAGUAGUGAAAGUUUCUCCGUGACAGCUAGGUAGGUACUUACCAGUCCUUCCUUGAGGAAAAUCACAGGUCUGACAAGGUUUGAUUGAUUUAAAGCAAUAGGAAGACAAGUGUGUCUUUACUAAUCCAAUCCCGUAAAGAUCAGUGGUUAGGCUACUUCAAGGAAGGAAAGAAGGGAGGAAUGAAGGAAGGAAGGACCAUUUUCUGUAAGAAGUACCACCUUUCAGCUUUAAAAACUAUCCAGACUUUUCUAGCCUUUUUUGUUGUUGUAUCAAAACAGUAUACUGAAAAUGAGACACACACACACACACAGCUACGCACAUUCCAGGAAAUGAUACGCUGUUUAUAAGAUGUUUACAUAUAUAUGUGUAAUAUUCAGAAUAUGAAGGAUAUAAUAUUGUUUUUACCAAUCAAUGUUGUUGUUUUGUUUAUUUAAAAAAAAAUAUGAUUACAGUGGGUUAGAAGGGUACUUUAAAAAAAAAAAUUUAAAGAGGUGGGAUUGCUUGAAUGAAUGAGCAUUGGUGUUUGUGACGGACAGGUGAAAAUAUAAGAUUAUAUCCACUAGCUGCUAUUCGGUUACAUACAGGCACACGUUUUAGAGGGAAACAUCACCAUCUGGAGCAAAUCCUGAUAGAAGAUGCUAUUAGAAGCUAAACAGUAAGGUGUUAUAGAUAUAUAUAAUCCUGAUAGAAGAUGCUAUUAGAAGCUAAACACUAAGGUGUUAUAGAUAUAUAUAAUCCUGAUAGAAGAUGCUAUUAGAAGCUAAACACUAAGGUGUUAUAGAUAUAUAUAAUCCUGAUAGAAGAUGCUAUUAGAAGUUAAACACUAAGGUGUUAUAGAUAUAUAUAAUCCUGAUAGAAGAUGCUAUUAGAAGCUAAACAGUAAGGUGUUAUAGAUAUAAUCCUGAUAGAAGAUGCUAUUAGAAGCUAAACAGUAAGGUGUUAUAAAUAUAUAUAAUCCUGAUAGAAGAUGCUAUUAGAAGCUAAACAUUAAGGUGUUAUACAUUUAUAUAAUCCUGAUAGAAGAUACUAUUAUAAACUAAACGGUAAGGUGUUCUAAAGUCUGUCUAUUCAGUAAUACAGUGAUUGACAUCACUGUGCUUCAAGUGAACGUGACACAUACACCAUGGUCUGUAAAUACUGCAAUGAAGGCUAAACAUGAUUGUUGUAAUGACAGAAGAACAAAUAAACG